AGGCAGCAGAGGAAAUCCCACAACCAUGGAGAUGGGUUCAUGGGCUCAGGUCUCUUCUGGGCUCUAAACAGCCUGCUACAGUUCUUUGCAAGUCCUUGGUCAGCAACCCCUCUUGUUCCCCUCAGGAAUGUUGUGAACAUCUCCCCCCAUUCAGCCUCAUCAUCCUCACUCUGGAAGGUAGACUGGACACCAUUAACUUACGAAGAGAGCAACGGAAAUGAGGGAAGAAGCGCGUCAGUCCCUCCCACCACAUCUACGCGGUCUUCUCUCUCCACCAAGGCCAGAGGAAGACAUUUACUGUUUGCUGAAUUAGAAAUCAGACGGAAAACCAUCCCAGGCUUUGAGUGCUCAAAGACAUGAUCCAGAAGUCAAGCCUUUCUUCCCAUUCUAUUAUACCCUUCUCAGGUUUGUCCCCUCUUGGUCACAAGAUGUCUCCUGUAGCUCCAGACAUUCACACAAGACUCAAAGCACAACAGGAGGGAAGAGGGCUCCCCAAGACCCUAUUUCUACAAUUCUCUAAUAAGGAAGAAAAGUCUUUCUCAUAUACCCCCCUGUAAUCUAGAUGGCCAAAAACUGUGUCACACUUACUUCUCUCUAAACCAGUCAGUGGUCAGUGGGAAUUGGUUUAGACUGGGCACAUUGUCCACUGAACAAGACCCAGGGUUCUGUUAGCAAAGAAAAGAAGGUGGGGGAAAGGACUAUUGGAAAGAAAAUUAAGAAUGUGUGCCACAACAAGGUAUAGAGCUGAGUGAUAUUCUUUUAGACAUUCUCACCAAAGUAUCUAACCAAUGUAUAUCUGAAAGAAAACAGUGAUUCCAUUGCACCAAAAUGACAAACACCAAUAUUGUAGUACAGCGUGUUCUCUAGAAAUUGAGUAUUUAAGGAGCAUUUCCUUUUUUAAAAAAAGAUUUUAUUUAUUUUUUUGACAGAGAGAUAUUAAGGAGCAUUUCCUAAGAAAUUGCUAACUGUAAGACAUUGUGCUAGGUCUAUCAGUGGGCUUGAAGAUGAAUAAGAAAUGGUUGGUCCCUAUCCUACCUCAAUAUAGUUAUUCCAGAAGAGACAGGAUAGAUCUAGUGAGGGUUCUCAACCCUGGUGGCACAGUCCAGUCACUUGGGAAGCUUGUAAAAUUCUGGCUCCAGGGCCAAGUCCUAAAACAAUGAAAUGAAACCCUUACAGGCAAAACUGGGUCAAAGGUUAAAGCUUCAGAAUGGGUGAAGAUGCAGAGAAAGGGGAACCCUCUUGCACUGUUGGUGGGAAUGCAAGGUGGUACAGCCACUCUGGAAAACAGUGUGGAGGUUCUUCAAAAAGUUGAAAAUAUAUAGAGCUACCCUACGACCCAGCAAUUGCACUACUGGGUAUUUACCCCGAAGAUACAGAUGUAGUGAAAAGAAGGGGCACAUUCACCCCGAUGUUCAUAGCAGGAAUUGUCCAAGAUAGCCAAACUGUGGAAGGAGCCGAGAUGCCCUUCAACAGAUGAAUGGAUAAAGAAGAUGUGGUUCAUAUACACAAUGGAGUAUUAUGCCUCCAUCAGAAAGGAUGAAUACCCAACUUUUGCAUCAGCAUGGAUGGGACUGGAGGGGAUUAUGUUGAGUGAAAUAAGUCAAGCAGAGAAAAACAAUCAUAUGCUUUCACUCCUACGGGGAACCUAAGGAAUAGCGUGGAGGACCAUAGGGGAAGGGAGCAAAAUCCAAAGGGGGAGAAAUCAGAGAGGGAGAAGAACCAUGAGAGACUAUGAACCCCGAGAAACAAUCUGGGGCUUUCAGAGGGGAGGAGGGGUAGGGGUAACAGGGUGAUGGGUAUUGAGGGCAUGUGCUAUGUAACGAGUGCCCUCCUUAAUGCCCAUCGCACAUUUAACCCCCCCCCCCCCCGCUGCCCAACAUCUCUUUCUAAUGUUGCUUUUUCCUAGGAUCAGGCACCAAGUUCAGAAUAAUACAACUGAUGAGGUAUUUUACACCAAAACCCAUCCUUAGCUGUUCUCCUAGAUGCCGGCUAGUACCUGACUCACAGUGUGACCUCACAAGCAAAGGUAGGGAGGGGUGUGUGUUAGCAAUAAUUAUAAUAGGUAUGCUUCAUGUAUGUUUCAUGAGAUCAACAGUAAACUGUCUUGUAGUUUAGGCUCACAACACAGGGAAAGUUGUCAAGUCAAAGAAGCUCAAGUUACUUUAGGUUUACCUUUUACUACUAUAGGAACUGGUAUCUCUUUUCAAGCAUUGUGGUGAUAGCAUUCAUGUUUGUGGGUAUAAGGGCUAGUGAAGUGGCUGUUUUAGUUUUUAGGAUUUUAUUUAUUUGUUUGGCAGAGGGAGAGCCAGGCUCCCUGCUGAGCAAGGAGCCUGAUGUGGGACUCCAUCCAGGAACCCUGGG
RNAcentral lists this long non-coding RNA (2361 nucleotides) under Mustela putorius furo (domestic ferret). RNAcentral describes it as "lncRNA (ENSMPUG00000027942.1)". Lineage: Eukaryota; Metazoa; Chordata; Mammalia; Carnivora; Mustelidae. The record is from RNAcentral.